UAGGGAAUCUUCCGCAAUGGACGCAAGUCUGACGGAGCAACGCCGCGUGAGUGAAGAAGGAUUUCGGUUCGUAAAACUCUGUUGUUAGAGAAGAACAGCGCAUAGAGUAACUGUUAUGCGUGUGACGGUAUCUAACCAGAAAGCCACGGCUAACUACGUGCCAGCAGCCGCGGUAAUACGUAGGUGGCAAGCGUUGUCCGGAUUUAUUGGGCGUAAAGCGAGCGCAGGCGGUCAAUUAAGUCUGAUGUGAAAGCCCCCGGCUCAACCGGGGAGGAUCAUUGGAAACUGGUUGACUUGAGUGCAGAAGAGGAGAGUGGAAUUCCAUGUGUAACGGUGAAAUGCGUAGAUAUAUGGAGGAACACCAGUGGCGAAGGCGACUCUCUGGUCUGUAACUGACGCUGAGGCUCGAAAGCGUGGGUAGCAAACAGG
RNAcentral lists this ribosomal RNA (429 nucleotides) under Bacteroidota bacterium. RNAcentral's name for it is "Bacteroidetes bacterium partial 16S ribosomal RNA". It matches the Rfam family "Bacterial small subunit ribosomal RNA", at positions 355 to 776 of the family's 1533-position model. The record is from RNAcentral. Lineage: Bacteria; Pseudomonadati; Bacteroidota.